RNAcentral lists this ribosomal RNA (253 nucleotides) under uncultured bacterium. Its description in RNAcentral is "partial 16S ribosomal RNA". It matches the Rfam family "Bacterial small subunit ribosomal RNA", at positions 524 to 776 of the family's 1533-position model. The record is from RNAcentral.
GACGGAGGGUGCAAGCGAUGCUCGGACUCACUGGGCGUAAAGAGCACGUAGGCGGCUUUGUAAGCCUGAUGUGAAAGCCCACGACUCAAUCGUGGAAGUGCAUUGGAUACUGCAUAGCUAGAGUGCAGGAGGGGUAAGCGGAAUUCCAGGUGUAGAGGUGAAAUUCGUAGAUAUCUGGAGGAACAACGGUGGCGAAGGCGGCUUACUGGACUGUUACUGACGCUGAGGUGCGAACGUGUGGGGAGCGAACAGG